RNAcentral lists this ribosomal RNA (390 nucleotides) under Triticum aestivum (bread wheat). RNAcentral describes it as "partial small subunit ribosomal RNA". Lineage: Eukaryota; Viridiplantae; Streptophyta; Magnoliopsida; Poales; Poaceae. The record is from RNAcentral.
AUGAACAAAGGCAGCAUCCACAAAAAGGAGACGCACGGAACAAGCGACGACAUAAGCGAGAACACGCCUGUGGAGAAGGUCAGGGGCCCCAAUCUGUUUGAACGGGCCAAGGAAGAGAUCGAGGCUCUUGUGGAGGCUGUUCACGAUAAGAUGGAGCACCAUUCCAGUCCCCGCAGGAAGGAGGGUGAAUUGCACAAGGAUUCCAAGGAACACAGUGAGGCAAACAUGCAUAAGAAGACCCAUGAGAACGAAACUCAUGGUACAAGCAAUGAUAUAAGUGAGGACACGCCUGUCAGCAAAGUCAAAGGCCCGGGCGUGUUUGAACGUGCCAAGGAAGAGAUCGAAGCUAUCGCUGAGGCCAUCCAUCCGAAGAAAGAAUCCGACAAGUGA